CUAUUUUAUUCUAUAAAUAUAAAUUUUAUUUAUUUUCAUAUAUAAAGUCAUCUAUCUAAUAUAUAAGUUAUAUUAUAUGUUCGUCACAUUUAUAUGUUAUAUACAUCUUAUUCAUUGAUCAAACGUUUGCCACUUUCACGCGAGAAAGCGUAUUGUCGCGUUAAUAAUCAUUGCAUUUACGACUUUUAAAUACGUUGAUUCAACGACUACGACAGAAAGUAAAAUACUUGCACGAAUCGUUCAUCUCAAUGAUUAGCACGUAAUUUCGUAAUAAAACUUAUGAAACUUCUUUAAUCUCUAUCAAUUGGAUGAUUUCACGAUGUAAUCAAUCGGAUAUAACAUUGAGCGCAAUCAUGAUGAUUAAUUGUAUUUUAUCGAGACGUUUUCUUUCAAAAAAAUGUGAGAUACGCACAAUAGUCUUAUCUAGUUGCAAUAAAAUGAUAGUGAUUUUCCAAGAUUUCCAAAUUAUUAAUUUUCUCUUCAACACUUAAAUUCUAUUCUAAGUAAUAAAAGUAACUAUUAAAAUUUAUUUCUAACAAUAAAGUUAUUAUGUAUUAUGAUAAAUAUUUCUAUUAAGAAUAUUCCAUUAUGAAUAUUCCAUAAGAAAAAAAUAACUGUAUUUAAUUGUAUUUUUUAGGUUAAUUAAUCAUAACCUAAUUAUAUCAUAUUUCAAGUUAUUUUUUCUCUUGAAAUUGUGUUGGAUGUUCUUGUAAGUGGAGCAAUUGUUCAAAUAUUUUUCUUUAUUUUAAUUAUUAAUAUCAAUUGAUAAUUAUACAUAUACAUAGCUUAAUUUUCAGAAGAUUAGAAUCGGUUUCAUGUAUACUGACAAUAAACUUUAUGAAAUAUAUAAUGAAAAUUACAUACUUGCAUAAAAUUUUAAUAUAAAAAAUUCUUCAAAGGCUAGUUUCAUUAGAUGAAUUUAUCGAUCGAAUAAAAAGAUAAUUUGUUAAUAUUCAGUGGAGAAGUAAAUACCUUUUAGAUAGAUCGAACAUAACCAAAGAAAUGGAAAGUUAGAUAGAAAUUUAUUUCAAUUAUUAUAAUACGAAGAAAGUAUAAGAAAGAAGAAAUACUGGGGAGGGAACGAGAGUACGGUCGAAAAAUUACAAGCGUCGAAGAAGAUAGGAAAAGUACAUAAAUGUAGAAGAAAGGAAGAAGAAAAAAAAAGGAAAAAAAGAAAAAUAAGAAAAGACCAAAUAAGAUAAGGAGACGAGAGGUGGAACGAGUUUAAGAUGGAAGAGGAGUAAAGUCGCAGGGAAAGGAGGAAUGGCGAACAAGAAAGACAGGGAACAAAGAAAUGGAGGGGAUAGAAUGUCGAAGCUAGGACUUUGACCGGCCGUUGGCCCCUGAUGCGGUCGCCUCUAACCGGCAAACCGAACGGAUCCUCCCAAGAAAAUUCUGUCCUCUGGUCUCUCAAUUCGUGUACACGUAUUAUACGUAUCUUGUUCCAUCCUUGUUUCUCACUAUACCCGAUCCAUUCAUUUAUAUAUCAUUUAUAACGCAAGAGAGAAUCGCGAAACGAUCGUCGAUUAAUUAACAUUACGUUAUUAAAAUUGGAGAAAUGAUUUUAAUGUACGAUUAUUAUAAAUUAAAAUAAUCUUAAUGAUCUUUUUUUCAAUUAAUACAUUUUUUUAUCUUAUAGGUCAGAAUAGAAGUACUUUAUCUCGAAUAUAAUACGACGUUAAUCGUAAAAAUGAUAUUGCGAAAAUUAAUAAAAGUGAAAAAAAUUGAA
Molecule: long non-coding RNA, 1729 nt
Filed under: Apis mellifera (honey bee)
Lineage: Eukaryota; Metazoa; Arthropoda; Insecta; Hymenoptera; Apidae
Description: uncharacterized LOC102656876
Source: RNAcentral